ACACACACACACUCACACACGCAUGGAAGGGAAAGAGAGAAACUCUCCUUUCUCUCUCUAAAUCUCUUCCAAAAUAGAUGGAUUUGGUGGAGAUUGAAGCUUGGAGGUGAAUCGCCUUCGUCUUCUUCAUCUUCUCCACCUUGAGGGCAAGCUUGAGAGGUAAGCUUUUGCUACCCUUUAAUGGUAGAUCCUUAAUGGUUGGUUUAAAUACCUUAUAAAUGGAUUUAGAGGAAUUCUAGCAUGCUAACUAGAUGAAUGAUGAUUCAUUCAUGAAGGAAUUUGGUGGAUUUUUAUCUAGAUGCAACCUAGGGCUUCAAAAUAAAAUUUUUGUAAAUAUGAGGGUUUGAUCUCAUUUGACCCUCUGUAAACCGAAUUGAUAGGUCACUGAACGCGUUGGAAGCGACGGUUCGGCGAUUCGUCGAGCCGGUGAGAAGUUAUUAAAGAAACGGACGUUUAGGCUUCGUUUCCGCCUGGAGGGCCGAAACGACGUCGUAAAAUCAUAGAAAUGGAUUUGAGGCAUCGUGGCACAUAACCGAAGAUCUAUAAUUUUCGGAGCUGCGAAGCGGAGCACGGUUGAGGCGCAGUUGCGAUAUCGGGCCGUGCCGAAUACGGGUGCCGCGGGAGGCCGAUUGCAAGUGUCGACAAGCAAUCGGAACGCGAGUUAAGGUGGGUUGUGCUUACCGAAGCGACUAGGUCGCCUUUAUGUCUAAGCAAAUUAAGAAUCCAUGUUGAUGCAUAUAGAUGUAAAUGAAGUAUGAAAAUAAUGCAUGUUAAUGUAAAUGCCAAGUAGAAAUGCGUAAUGAUAAGAUGCAAGUUACAUAAUGCUAGAUGAAUGCAUGAGUUAAUUGUUAUAUGAAUGCAUGAAAAUAAUAUUAUAGUAAUAUGUUAGAGGUAAUAUGCAUGUUGAUAAAUUAUGGAACAUGUUGGAUGGCAUAUGAAUGGUUGGCAUAUAUAUGUAGACAUAUUGUGGAAUAUGAUAAAUGAGUGCAUGUUGAUUUAUUGUAGAAUAUACUAGAUGAAUGUAUAUUGACAUAUUGUGGAUUAUGUUAAAUGACACAUGCAUGUUGAACUUGGGUCGAUAAACUCUAGGUGAAUUAGAGAACUCGACAUUGGAAAACAAUGACAUAUGAACUAUGAUAUGUGACGUGGACAAUCUAUAUAUAUUAGAUCGAGUGGCAUAUGAUUAGUAUAGUGGAAACACUUAUGGCAUGUUGAACACUUAGAAAACAAGUGUGGCAUGAGUCCAAGAAUAUAGUAGUGUAUAUGACACAAGUGAUAGUAAAGAAUGCAAAGAAAAGAAUGAUGGAAAUAUUAUGACAUUUCAACCCUAGAGUUAGGGUCAUUUGAGCAUAGUCUUCCUAAAGUUAAGGAAUGGAUUGAACUUGACAUCCUCAAGAUUUUGGAUUUGAUCAUUGAUCAUACUCACCUUUAGUCCUUGCUCGAGGUUGUGGUAGCUCCCCCUCGGGCGAUGUGCUCCGGAGUCGACAUCACUGGGUUGUAGCGGUUAUCUCCCCAGAGGACGGUCCCACCGGGUUGUAGCGGGUAUCUCCCCGGUUAAUGGGAUUUUGGGUUGGUGAGUUUGUUGAGGGCGAAACCUUCGGGUUAGCCAAGUGAUUGGGUAAUAAACUUAUGAGCUAUAGUGAUGUCCUAGUUGAGGGGAUUUAAGGCCGAGGUGCAAGUGAGACGUCCUUCGCCUCGGGCCUGGCUUUGUGCGGUACUCCGCAGACGAUUGACUCAAGACCGAGUCGGGCGGUUAGCUUUGUAAAGAUAGAUGAAACUUUAUGAUUAAAAUGGUAAAUGACAGAAAACCUUAAAUGUCAAUUGGAUGAAAGUAGUAAUCGAUUGAAUUACUAGUUGAUUGUAUAGUCGCAUCAUUGCAUGAUCUUCAUAUUGCAUUCGUGAGGCAAUGCAUGGUUUUAUUCGUUGCAUAAUCAAGAUAUAUAUCUAUCUGUUUAUUGAACUAACUUGCAGUUGCCUCCCUUGGACCUAUUGGUCGAGCUUUUCCCUUGGGUGGCCGUACCCACUGGGAACCAUGGAGUUGGUUCUCACCCCACGUGGUUUUGGGGUGUUACAGGUUCACACGUGAGCGGCGCGGCGGCGCGAGGCGAGGGCGUAGCAUCAUAGUUAGCGCCCUACCACCGAGACCAGAGAUAGCGGUACCCUGAGUCGGCUUUGCUUAGGGUUGUAGAAAAUGAAAAGAAUCAAGUUGUAAUAAUCAUGUUAAAUCGGAUUGUAUUUGGAAGUUGAAUGUAAUAAGUAUUUGGGAUGUAAAAUGUAUGAAUGUGAAUGCUUGUAAUAACAAGUAGAUUAUGUUUUUGAUACUUCCUUAUGCAAUCUUUGAUUGAAAUGUGUUCCUGGUUGGAACUUUGUACAUUGUAUUGAUUGCGACGCCUUGAAUGUACAGGGGAGACUCUGUCCGCGGUACAGGGGAAACCCUGUCCGUUCGGCGGUCUGUCGGCGUGCCCGAAACCGACCAAAUAAGCGGUCGCGGGGCGUGACAGCUUACCACCAAACCAUCCCUCCUCCACACCCCGCCCACCUCCCAUCUUGCCCACCUCGCCCACUCGCCCCCUCGCUUGCUCGCUCGCUUGCUGGCUCGCUCGCCCCCUCACCUACUUCUCAGGUUUGAUUCUUUCUUUUUCUUUCUUUUAGUUGUUUGGUGAAUAAAUUAUAGGAAAAAAAUAUUAUUUGGUGAAACAAAUUACAGAAAAAAAAUGUUGUUCUGUUUUUAAAAAAUCUGAAAAAAAAAUCUAAUUUUAUUAUACAAAAUCUGAAUUUAUUAUAAAAUCUGAUUUUAUUAUACAAAAUCUGAUUUUCAAAAAUCUGAUUUUAUUUUAAAAUAUGAUUUUAUUACAAAAUCUGAAUUUAUUAUAAAAUCUGAUUUUUUUAUAUCAGGACACAAGUUCGAAGCACUUGCCUAAUUCCUCGUCGCAGUUUUCUUCAUCAAUACUUUCAUUGUCCGAGCUAUCAAAAGUUGGUGAAUCAUGAUAAUCCUCACUAUCCAUCUAUAUAAUUUAACAAAUUUUAAAUUAAUAAUAAAACUAUUAAUCAUGCAAUUUACUAAUAAAUCCAUAAAGACUAAAUCAU
This 3087-nucleotide long non-coding RNA is filed under the name Ananas comosus (pineapple). RNAcentral describes it as "long non-coding RNA (ACOM_LNC023092)". The record is from RNAcentral. Lineage: Eukaryota; Viridiplantae; Streptophyta; Magnoliopsida; Poales; Bromeliaceae.